This 492-nucleotide ribosomal RNA is filed under the name uncultured bacterium. Its description in RNAcentral is "partial 16S ribosomal RNA". It matches the Rfam family "Bacterial small subunit ribosomal RNA", at positions 29 to 507 of the family's 1533-position model. The record is from RNAcentral.
AGUGAACGCUGGCGGUAGGCCUAACACAUGCAAGUCGAACGGCAGCACAGUAAGAGCUUGCUCUUACGGGUGGCGAGUGGCGGACGGGUGAGGAAUACAUCGGAAUCUACUUUUUCGUGGGGGAUAACGUAGGGAAACUUACGCUAAUACCGCAUACGACCUACGGGUGAAAGCAGGGGAUCUUCGGACCUUGCGCGAAUGAAUGAGCCGAUGUCGGAUUAGCUAGUUGGCGGGGUAAAGGCCCACCAAGGCGACGAUCCGUAGCUGGUCUGAGAGGAUGAACAGCCACACUGGAACUGAGACACGGUCCAGACUCCUACGGGAGGCAGCAGUGGGGAAUAUUGGACAAUGGGCGCAAGCCUGAUCCAGCCAUACCGCGUGGGUGAAGAAGGCCUUCGGGUUGUAAAGCCCUUUUGUUGGGAAAGAAAAGCAGCAGGUUAAUACCCCGCUGUUCUGACGGUACCCAAAGAAUAAGCACCGGCUAACUUCGUG